CGCAUCCCCGCGCACCGUAGAGGCGGCGGCGAGCGAGAGCCCGCGUCGCGGCUCCGGGCCGCAGAAGGGCUGGGGAGCUCGCACGCGAGAGGACCUGGCCCGGGCUCGGCGGGCAGCGCCGGGCGCGGCUGGCACUAUUAACUUGCAGUUUUAUUGUCAUGAUUAACGACUGUGAAGUAAUCGGCACAUUUCCUGUUGCACCAAGGAUUUCUGCAUAAACUGCUUUAAGAGUUGCUGAUCCAAAAAGGAAGUUAUCCUCCCUGAAACUCGAUCCAGACCAAGAUUUGGUGAUUUGCUUACCUACCAUGUAGCUCCUCCCCUGAGUUUCAUGUUAUUAUGAUUAUAAUAAUAAGGGCACAGGCAAUGUGAUCAAUUUAGCCGUAUUGCUGGAUAGUUUAUAUCACUGCAGGAGGUAUAUGUUGAUUCACCCUGCAAUGAUUCCUCAUAGUAUAGCUUAGAAGCUUAGAAGUCAGGAGAUUGACUUUUGUUUCAAAUUUUAGUUAAUUACUUUAUUAUCCAUCCCUGAUAUUAUAGCUUAAUGGCCCUUUGGAAGAUUGAAAAGAUUACAAAUGCAGUGAUGCCCAAUCCUUGUUCAUUGUACAAUUUUGUCUCAGAGUACUGCUCUAUAAUUUUAAUAAAUUAAAGUAGAAACACCUCCUUAAUGUUAAGGAAUAUGCCAGGGCUGAGAAGGCCAGGUUGAGCAGAACAAGGUCCUAGCCUUUGAAGAGCAAGGGGUUCAUGUUGGGUAGGUAAACAAUUGCAAAACUAUGUGACUAAAGCUACUGUAGCAGUAUGAAUCAAGUAGAAACAUGCUCAGAGGUAGCUGUAAGUAAUCCUAAAAUCAGGGAUGGUUUCUCAGAGGAGGUGAUCUUAGUACUACAUCUUGAAAGACAACCACUAGUUUGCCAGGCAAAGGGGAAAGUGUCCUAGGAAGAAGAAAGAGACUUAAAGUGUGGGAUAUGUUUAGGGAACUAUCAUUAAUUCAACAUAAUGUAGUAAGUACAGUAUGGACCAGUAGCAGGAGAUAGGAAACAGAUUCAGAAGUGCCUUGAAUAUCAUGCUAAACAACUUGGAGUUGAUUAAUGGUUUUGAAUUGGGGAAGUAAUAGAGUCUUAUUUUUAUAGUUGUGUACUGGGUGCAAGCUCAUGACCCUCAGAGCAUAUGCAUCUCCCUCUAAAACACAGAGGUAACAGACAUUAGGGGAAAUAGAGGAAGGGCUGAACUCAUGUUUUUGAGUGGGUAAAUUUUUAGAUUGUUUGACUGGGUGGUUGCCUUCUAAGAGAUAGGUCAGAUAGGGAUGGAAAAAUAUGACUAAUGAAGAUUUAUUGAUUGUGAAUUAGGGUGUGAAACUAAGGAGAUGUUGAGACUGAAGAUGUCAAUAUGGGUGUAACUGCAGAUAAGAAUUGAAGGCCCUUUCUAGAAAUUGCUAUACUUAGAGUUUUGUGUUAAAUUUUGAUAGGAAUAGGUUUGCCAUAAGAAUCAUGU
This is a non-coding RNA of Microcebus murinus (gray mouse lemur), 1485 nucleotides long. Lineage: Eukaryota; Metazoa; Chordata; Mammalia; Primates; Cheirogaleidae. The record is from RefSeq and is a predicted model, not a curated record.